GGACUACCGGGGUAUCUAAUCCUGUUUGAUCCCCACGCUGUCGCGCCUGAGCGUCAGUUACGAGCCAGUGAGCCGCCUUCGCCACCGGUGUUCUUCCCAAUAUCUACGAAUUUCACCUCUACACUGGGAAUUCCACUCACCUCUCUCGUACUCCAGUCUCACAGUUUCAAUGGCAAUUCCGGAGUUGAGCUCCGGGCUUUCACCACUGACUUGGAAGACCGCCUGCGCGCGCUUUACGCCCAGUAAUUCCGAACAACGCUAGCCCCCUUCGUAUUACCGCGGCUGCUGGCAC
RNAcentral lists this ribosomal RNA (292 nucleotides) under uncultured Alphaproteobacteria bacterium. RNAcentral describes it as "partial 16S ribosomal RNA". Lineage: Bacteria; Pseudomonadati; Pseudomonadota; Alphaproteobacteria. The record is from RNAcentral.